UACGUAGGGGGCAAGCGUUGUCCGGAAUUAUUGGGCGUAAAGCGCGUGUAGGCGGCUUUGCAAGUCGGGUGUGAAAGCCCUCAGCUCAACUGAGGAAGUGCGCCCGAAACUGCAGAGCUUGAGUGCCGGAGAGGGUGGCGGAAUUCCCCAAGUAGAGGUGAAAUUCGUAGAUAUGGGGAGGAACACCGGUGGCGAAGGCGGCCACCUGGACGGUAACUGACGCUGAGACGCGAAAGCGUGGGGAGCAAACAGG
This 253-nucleotide ribosomal RNA is filed under the name uncultured bacterium. Its description in RNAcentral is "partial 16S ribosomal RNA". It matches the Rfam family "Bacterial small subunit ribosomal RNA", at positions 524 to 776 of the family's 1533-position model. The record is from RNAcentral.